GGGGUUGUGGCUCAGGGGUAGAGUGCCUAGCACGUCCAAGGCCCUGGGUUCGAUUCUCAGCACCACA
Molecule: transfer RNA, 67 nt
Filed under: Marmota monax (woodchuck)
Lineage: Eukaryota; Metazoa; Chordata; Mammalia; Rodentia; Sciuridae
Description: tRNA.Undet
Source: RNAcentral